CAUAGCAGUCAUGCAGGCAAAACCGCAUGAAAAAUGUAAAGCGUUAUGUGGAUCGAACAUUAGUAGAGAAGCGUGUGAGCCAGCUGCCAAGAAAAGCCGCUAUUGUUUCAUAAGUACCCGUACCGUAAACCGACACAGGUGGAUGAGGAGAGAAUCCUAAGGCCGGCGGGAGAAGUGUUGUUAAGGAACUCGGCAAAAUGACUCCGUAACUUCGGGAGAAGGAGUGCCACAGAGAUGUGGCCGCAGAGAAAUGGCCCAAGCAACUGUUUAGCAAAACACAGGUCUAUGCAAAACCGAAAGGUGAGGUAUAUGGGCUGACGCCUGCCCGGUGCUGGAAGGUUAAGAGGAGAGGUUAGAGCAAUCGAAGCUUUGAAUUUAAGCCCCAGUAAACGGCGGCCGUAACGAUAACGGUCCUAAGGUAGCGAAAUUCCUUGUCGGGUAAGUUCCGACCCGCACGAAAGGCGUAAUGAUUUGGGCACUGUCUCAACAACACACCCGGUGAAAUUGAAAUACCAGUGAAGAUGCUGGUUACCUGCGCCAGGACGGAAAGACCCCAUGGAGCUUUACUCCAGUUUGAUACUGGGAUUCGGUACUGUCUGUACAGGAUAGGUGGGAGGCUAGGAAACGGUGACGCCAGUUGCCAUGGAGCCAACCUUGGGAUACCACCCUUACAGUACUGGGUUUCUAACCUGCAGCCGUAACCCGGCUGGGGGACAAUGUCUGACGGGGAGUUUGACUGGGGCGGUCGCCUCCGAAAGAGUAUCGGAGGCGCUCAAAGGUUCCCUCAGAACGGUUGGAAACCGUUCGAAGAGUGCAAAGGCAGAAGGGAGCUUGACUGCGACACCGACGGGUGGAGCAGAUACGAAAGUAGGACUUAGUGAUCCGGUGGUAUAAAGUGGGAUUGCCAUCGCUCAACGGAUAAAAGCUACCUGGGAUAACAGGCUUAUCACUCCCAAGAGUUCACAUCGACGGAGUGGUUUGGCACCUCGAUGUCGGCUCAUCGCAUCCUGGAGCUGUAGCAGGUUCCAAGGGUUGGGCUGUUCGCCCAUUAAAGCGGUACGCGAGCUGGGUUCAGAACGUCGUGAGACAGUUCGGUCCCUAUCCGGCGUGGGCGUAGGAUAUUUGAGAGGAGCUGUCCUUAGUACGAGAGGACCGGGAUGGACAAACCUCUGGUGUAUCUGUUGUUUUACCAAAGGCAUGGCAGAGUAGCCAAGUUUGGCAGGGAUAAACGCUGAAGGCAUCUAAGCGUGAAGCCCCCCUCAAGAUAAGAUAUCCCAUCUUCGGAGUAAGACCCCUUGAAGACUACAAGGUUGAUAGGCUUCAGGUGUAAGUGUGGUAACGCACUCAGCUGAGAAGUACUAAUAGGUCGAGGACUUACCAA
This 1381-nucleotide ribosomal RNA is filed under the name metagenome. RNAcentral's name for it is "bacterial LSU rRNA". It matches the Rfam family "Bacterial large subunit ribosomal RNA", at positions 1519 to 2925 of the family's 2925-position model. The record is from RNAcentral.